UGUAAAAUUGGUUCGACUAUUU
RNAcentral lists this microRNA (22 nucleotides) under Tribolium castaneum (red flour beetle). RNAcentral describes it as "tca-miR-3824-5p". The record is from miRBase by way of RNAcentral. Lineage: Eukaryota; Metazoa; Arthropoda; Insecta; Coleoptera; Tenebrionidae.